CGAUUGCAACGGCUUCAUGACGUGAUCGCUUAAUCUUUUUGGAGCA
Molecule: non-coding RNA, 46 nt
Filed under: unclassified sequences
Source: RNAcentral